GCUGGGUGUGGUGGUGUGCACCUGUAGUCCUAGCUACUUGGGGUGCUGAGGUGGGAGGAUUGCUUGAGCCCAGGAGUUGGAAGCUGCAGUGAGCCGUGUUCAUACCACUGCACUCCAGCCUGGGCGACAAAGCAAGACCCUGUCUCAA
RNAcentral lists this non-coding RNA (148 nucleotides) under Nomascus leucogenys (northern white-cheeked gibbon). The record is from Rfam by way of RNAcentral. Lineage: Eukaryota; Metazoa; Chordata; Mammalia; Primates; Hylobatidae.